Molecule: ribosomal RNA, 527 nt
Filed under: Capitulum mitella
Lineage: Eukaryota; Metazoa; Arthropoda; Thecostraca; Pollicipedomorpha; Pollicipedidae
Description: partial large subunit ribosomal RNA
Rfam family: Bacterial large subunit ribosomal RNA
Source: RNAcentral
AAAAACAUUUCCUCUUGGUAUAAGAGGUAAGGCCUGCUCACUGACUAGGUUGAAGAGCCGCAGUAUAUUGACUGUGCUAAGGUAGCAUAAUCAUUAGUCCUUUAAUUGGGGACUGGUAUGAAUGGCUAAACGAGAAAUUAGCUUUCUUUGUUAUGGUUUGUUGAAUUUAACUUGUAAGUGAAAAGGCUUACAUGAUUCAGAAAGACGAGAAGACCCUAUAGAGUUUUACAAAGGCCUAAAAUACAGCUUAUUAGUUUUUAAGGGUUAUAUUUUGGAAAUUUGUUUGGUUGGGGCGACAUAAAGAUAAAAAAAACUCUUUGUAGUAUAAACUUUGGUGGAAGAAAAGGUUUGAUCCUUUAAAAGGGAUUAUAAGAAAAAAUUACCUUAGGGAUAACAGCGUAAUCUUCUUUUAGAGUUCAAAUCGACAAGAAGGUUUGCGACCUCGAUGUUGGACUAAAAUUUGGGCAAGGUGCAGCAGCUUUGUUUUUGGGUCUGUUCGACCCGUAAUAUUUUACAUGAUCUGAGUU